GAUGAACGCUGGCGGCGUGCCUAACACAUGCAAGUCGAACGAAGCUUGACGGAUGAUUUCUUCGGAAUGAAACCAGAUAUGACUUAGUGGCGGACGGGUGAGUAACACGUGAGCAACCUGCCUUUCAGAGGGGGAUAACGGCUGGAAACGGUCGCUAAUACCGCAUGAUGUGUUCGGAUGGCAUCAUCUGAACAUCAAAGAUUUAUCGCUGAAAGAUGGGCUCGCGUCUGAUUAGAUAGUUGGUGGGGUAACGGCCUACCAAGUCUACGAUCAGUAGCCGGAUGGAGGGUUUGAGGGGCAACAUUGGGACUGAGAGCCGCCCGAGCCCCCCACGGGAGGAAGAAGGGGGAAAUAUUGCACAAGGGGGAAACCCUGGAUGCAGCACCGCCGCGUGAAGAAUGACGUUUUGGGGAUUAAAAACUUUUUUUCUUAGGGACGAAGACAGUGAGGGUAGCUAAGAAAUAAACACCGGCUAACUACGUG
RNAcentral lists this ribosomal RNA (483 nucleotides) under uncultured bacterium. RNAcentral's name for it is "partial 16S ribosomal RNA". It matches the Rfam family "Bacterial small subunit ribosomal RNA", at positions 28 to 507 of the family's 1533-position model. The record is from RNAcentral.